AAAUCUCAACCUCCAUUGUUUCUUCCGGGGACCAAAGGAGGCUUGGACUCUGGAGGUUUUUGCUGGUGUCUUUGAAGGCCAGCUCCUCUUAAAUGAAUUAGCGGGGUCCUCUUUGCCGAUCCUGGACAUGUGAUAAGAUGCUUCCGUGUCUUGGCUUCUGGCUCUGUUGCCUUUGGGAUCCGCUUCCAAUCGUCUUGACCUUGCGUCGAGACAAUGUUCGAGCCUGUCUCCCUUCUUGGGAAACCCUCUCGACCCCACGAAC
RNAcentral lists this unclassified non-coding RNA (262 nucleotides) under uncultured Lactarius. RNAcentral describes it as "sequence contains ITS2". The record is from RNAcentral. Lineage: Eukaryota; Fungi; Basidiomycota; Agaricomycetes; Russulales; Russulaceae.